Molecule: ribosomal RNA, 472 nt
Filed under: uncultured bacterium
Lineage: Bacteria
Description: bacterial SSU rRNA
Rfam family: Bacterial small subunit ribosomal RNA
Source: RNAcentral
ACUCCUACGGGAGGCAGCAGUGGGGAAUAUUGCACAAUGGGCGCAAGCCUGAUGCAGCCAUGCCGCGUGUAUGAAGAAGGCCUUCGGGUUGUAAAGUACUUUCAGCAGUGAGGAAGGUGGAUAUGUUAAUAGCAUAUUCAUUUGACGUUAGCUGCAGAAGAAGCACCGGCUAACUCCGUGCCAGCAGCCGCGGUAAUACGGAGGGUGCGAGCGUUAAUCGGAAUUACUGGGCGUAAAGCGCAUGCAGGUGGUUUGUUAAGUCAGAUGUGAAAGCCCGGGGCUCAACCUCGGAAUUGCAUUUGAAACUGGCAAACUAGAGUACUGUAGAGGGGGGUAGAAUUUCAGGUGUAGCGGUGAAAUGCGUAGAGAUCUGAAGGAAUACCGGUGGCGAAGGCGGCCCCCUGGACAGAUACUGACACUCAGAUGCGAAAGCGUGGGGAGCAAACAGGAUUAGAUACCCUGGAGGCUGUGC